ACGACCUUACUUGAACAGGAUCUGUUCUAUAGGAUCGUACCGUUGCAUCCUUGAUUUGAUAAGGAGGCAAGCACUUAAACCUGGUUGAUGAACCAUGACCUGUGGGCCAGAGCGUGAUUAACGGCCAGGAUUUGGCUCUGAUGCCUGUUCCGGUGCUGUAGAGGAUCGUUCCUAGUCUAACCUGGCUGGGGUGGCUCAUGGGUUGUCUGACAGGUU
Molecule: small nucleolar RNA, 216 nt
Filed under: Zea mays
Lineage: Eukaryota; Viridiplantae; Streptophyta; Magnoliopsida; Poales; Poaceae
Description: Plant small nucleolar RNA U3
Rfam family: Plant small nucleolar RNA U3
About the family: Small nucleolar RNAs (snoRNAs) are involved in the processing and modification of rRNA in the nucleolus. There are two main classes of snoRNAs: the box C/D class, and the box H/ACA class.
Source: Rfam by way of RNAcentral